Molecule: ribosomal RNA, 253 nt
Filed under: uncultured bacterium
Lineage: Bacteria
Description: partial 16S ribosomal RNA
Rfam family: Bacterial small subunit ribosomal RNA
Source: RNAcentral
UACGUAGGUGGCGAGCGUUGUCCGGAUUUACUGGGCGUAAAGAGCGCGCAGGCGGUCGUACAAGUCGCGUGUGAAAGCCCCCGGCUCAACUGGGGAGGGUCACGCGAUACUGUUCGACUCGAAGGCAGGAGAGGGUAGUGGAAUUCCCGGUGUAGUGGUGAAAUGCGUAGAUAUCGGGAGGAACACCAGUGGCGAAGGCGGCCAUCUGGACCGUAUCUGACGCUGAGGCGCGAAAGCGUGGGGAGCAAACAGG